UACGGAGGGGGCUAGCGUUGUUCGGAAUUACUGGGCGUAAAGCGCACGUAGGCGGCUUUGUAAGUUAGAGGUGAAAGCCCGGGGCUCAACUCCGGAAUUGCCUUUAAGACUGCAUCGCUAGAAUUGUGGAGAGGUAAGUGGAAUUCCGAGUGUAGAGGUGAAAUUCGUAGAUAUUCGGAAGAACACCAGUGGCGAAGGCGACUUACUGGACACAUAUUGACGCUGAGGUGGCGAAAAGCGUGGGGAGCAAACAGG
RNAcentral lists this ribosomal RNA (255 nucleotides) under uncultured bacterium. Its description in RNAcentral is "partial 16S ribosomal RNA". It matches the Rfam family "Bacterial small subunit ribosomal RNA", at positions 524 to 776 of the family's 1533-position model. The record is from RNAcentral.